UACGUAGGGCGCAAGCGUUGUCCGGAAUUAUUGGGCGUAAAGAGCUCGUAGGCGGUUUGUCGCGUCUGUCGUGAAAGCUUGGGGCUUAACCCCAAGUCUGCGGUGGAUACGGGCAGACUAGAGGCAGGUAGGGGAGAACGGAAUUCCCGGUGUAGCGGUGAAAUGCGCAGAUAUCGGGAGGAACACCGGUGGCGAAGGCGGUUCUCUGGGCCAUUACUGACGCUGAGGAGCGAAAGCGUGGGGAGCGAACAGG
Molecule: ribosomal RNA, 253 nt
Filed under: uncultured bacterium
Lineage: Bacteria
Description: partial 16S ribosomal RNA
Rfam family: Bacterial small subunit ribosomal RNA
Source: RNAcentral